RNAcentral lists this ribosomal RNA (540 nucleotides) under uncultured fungus. RNAcentral describes it as "eukaryotic LSU rRNA". The stretch from base 195 to 348 matches the Rfam family "5.8S ribosomal RNA". The record is from RNAcentral. Lineage: Eukaryota; Fungi.
AAGUCGUAACAAGGUCUCCGUUGGUGAACCAGCGGAGGGAUCAUUACCGAGUUUACAACUCCCAAACCCCUGUGAACAUACCUUAUGUUGCCUCGGCGGAUCAGCCCGCGCCCCGUAAAAAGGGACGGCCCGCCGCAGGAACCCUAAACUCUGUUUUUAGUGGAACUUCUGAGUAUAAAAAACAAAUAAAUCAAAACUUUCAACAACGGAUCUCUUGGUUCUGGCAUCGAUGAAGAACGCAGCAAAAUGCGAUAAGUAAUGUGAAUUGCAGAAUUCAGUGAAUCAUCGAAUCUUUGAACGCACAUUGCGCCCGCCAGUAUUCUGGCGGGCAUGCCUGUUCGAGCGUCAUUUCAACCCUCAAGCCCAGCUUGGUGUUGGGAGCUGCAGUCCUGCUGCACUCCCCAAAUACAUUGGCGGUCACGUCGAGCUUCCAUAGCGUAGUAAUUUACACAUCGUUACUGGUAAUCGUCGCGGCCACGCCGUUAAACCCCAACUUCUGAAUGUUGACCUCGGAUCAGGUAGGAAUACCCGCUGAACUUA